Molecule: ribosomal RNA, 468 nt
Filed under: uncultured bacterium
Lineage: Bacteria
Description: partial 16S ribosomal RNA
Rfam family: Bacterial small subunit ribosomal RNA
Source: RNAcentral
GACGAACGCUGGCGGCGUGCUUAACACAUGCAAGUCGAACGGAAAGGCCCUGCUUUUGUGGGGUGCUCGAGUGGCGAACGGGUGAGUAACACGUGUGUAACCUGCCCUUGACUUUGGGAUAACGUCAGGAAACUGGGGCUAAUACCGGAUAGGAGCUCCUGCUGCAUGGUGGGGGUUGGAAAGUUUCGGCGGUUGGGGAUGGAAUCGCGGCUUAUCAGCUUGUUGGUGGGGUAGUGGCUUACCAAGGCUUUGACGGGUAGCCGGCCUGAGAGGGUGACCGGCCACACUGGGACUGAGAUACGGCACAGCCUACUACGGGAGGCAGCAGUGGGGAAUAUUGCACAAUGGGAGGAAGCCUGCUGCAGCAAAGCCGCGCGCGGGAUGACGGCCUUCGGGUUGUAAACCGCUUUCGCCUGUGACGAAGCGUGAGUGACGGUAAUGGGUAAAGAAGCACCGGCUAACUACGUG